UACGAAGGGGGCUAGCGUUGCUCGGAAUGACUGGGCGUAAAGGGCGCGUAGGCCGCUUACAUAGUUAGGCGUGAAAUUCCUAGGCUCAACCUGGGGACUGCGUCUAAUACAUGUAGGCUUGAGUGUGAAAGAGGGUCGUGGAAUUUCCAGUGUAGAGGUGAAAUUCGUAGAGAUUGGAAAGAACACCGGUGGCGAAGGCGGCGACCUGGUUCAUUACUGACGCUGAGGCGCGAAAGAGUGGGGAGCAAACAGG
RNAcentral lists this ribosomal RNA (253 nucleotides) under uncultured bacterium. Its description in RNAcentral is "partial 16S ribosomal RNA". It matches the Rfam family "Bacterial small subunit ribosomal RNA", at positions 524 to 776 of the family's 1533-position model. The record is from RNAcentral.